Molecule: non-coding RNA, 26 nt
Filed under: Mus musculus (house mouse)
Lineage: Eukaryota; Metazoa; Chordata; Mammalia; Rodentia; Muridae
Source: RNAcentral
UGCCAGACUGCUGCCUCCCAGAGCAC